GCUACACUCAUCUGAAUGUCUGUGUUUCUUCAGCGAAAGUUGUCAAAUUCUCCUAUUCACAAUCUCAGUGUCGCCUACCCAGUCUGGUUACUGAGUCACAGCUGUCUUGCCUCGCAAUAACUUACCAUAUAGCUUAGCUUCAGUUAGCUUAGCUUAGCUCUUCUGCCCUUAGCUCUGCUGUGUUAGCCUCGUGGGAACUGUGCAGACGUAGCUAGGUUAGCUUAGCAUAGUUGAUCUCAUCUGAAUUCGGCUGCCCCUCCAUACUACGGACCCACCUUGCGGGGUCCAGCUCCCUGUACCAGCACCCCAGCAACACACUGAGCAGCCCCCAGGUGAGCGAGGUGAGGAGGAGGAGGAGUGUGGUGCUGCACCUCUGUAGGGGCCGGGGUCUGUACAUGGUUAGGGGCAGCGCCAGAGAGCUCUUUCUGGGAGAGACACACACAUGGUGCCAGGGUUAGGGUGGGUAGGAACUUAAGGUGGGCCUUCAAGGUGGUUUGAUGUCGCGUUGUGUUAAGCUUCUGUCUCAGAGCGCUAAGGAAGUCUAAGGUCAUGAGUCAUCAUGGUUUGAUAGCCCCACUACCUCCUUCCUGUGGCCAUUUGCUGACUAUGUUCAAGACAAGUGAUAUCAAUUACGGUUUCGAGUUCAAUGUAGCUAAAUAAAAACAUGGAGACCGAAAAAAUCCAUGUGAAUCUCCAAAGGUUUCCGUCCAGUUUCCUAUCCACGUCCUACUCUGUCUCCUUGUCCUCUCUCGUUUUUCUCUCAGAGGGGAGGGAAGAUGAAGAGGAUGGUAGAGGGAGGACAAGACGUGUGUGUGGGAGAGAGGGCAUGCCACAGAAACAGAAGACACAUCACUUUCUUACGUAAAGCCCAACAAGGUCUUCGGAGAGCUGGGAGAGUGGAGAGGAGGAAAAAGCACUCAUGAACUUUUCGUGUGCCUGUAGGAGUGCAGUUGACUAGGAACACCCAAUGCUGAAGAGGAAAACGUGUGUUUGUGUGUGUGUGUGUGUGUGUAGGGGGGGGGCAGUGUGUUACCUGCUGUCGUAGGUGUUGGAGUUGCGGUCAAACUUAUAGGUGGGUUUGAACCUGAGAGGCCCUUCCUCAAACUCCUGUAGAAACGGCUCCUUCUUCCUCAUCAUCAGUAACUACAACCACACAAGGACAGCAUAGUCAGUGUUUGUGUCUCAGCAGGUUUGUGUGUGUGUGUGCGUCUGUGUGUGUGUGUUACCUGGUCCUUCGCCCACAGCAGGUUAUAGCGUUCGCUGUUGAUGGAUGAACGGAGGAAGUGCAUACCAUGGUCCUCAAUGCGGAAGUUCAGAUCACCGAACCAGAAGACCACCCUGUCACAGAGGUAGCUGGCAGACGUCUGUGGGGGGCUGGACAUCCAGCUGCAGAAGGGAAAUGACGUCACGCGGGGGUUCUGCUGUCGCCACAUUCCACGUGACCAUGUGCAACCUGUCAGAAUGGAGCAAAGACAAGGAACAUUCCUUCUGUACUGCAGACCAAGGUGGCACAGGACCAGAGAGGAAGGAAGGAAGGAAGGAAGGAAGGAAGGAAGGGGAAACACAGAGACAGUUAGGAAAGUACCUCAGACAGGUCCCACAACCAGCGUCCUUGGGGGUGAAGCGUCCACAUAGCUGGAAGGCCUCGUCCAGGGUGCGAGACACUUCCUCGUUGGCCUCGUCGUCGGAGCUCAGGUCCUCCACGCACGUGAGCAGCUGGGACAGACGCUGGCGCAGGAGCAGCUUGCCCUUUGACCCCUGGGACGCCGUGCUGGACGUGCUGUCAGAACGCGCGCGGAGGCCGUCCAACGACGACAACGCAUCCGGCGCCAUCUUUACCGCCUCGGCCAUGGUUGGAUUUGUAACUCUCCUCAGAAGGACUGUCGAGGUCUCUGUUCUCUCUCU
Molecule: long non-coding RNA, 1905 nt
Organism: Osmerus eperlanus (European smelt)
Lineage: Eukaryota; Metazoa; Chordata; Actinopteri; Osmeriformes; Osmeridae
Exons: 4
Source: RefSeq, a predicted model, not a curated record